AAGUCCAGGUGUGGCCGUAUCGCCCCUGGCAUAGAGCAUGAGAAGUCCAGGUGUGGCCGUAUCGCCCCUGGCAUAGAGCAUAUGAAGUCCAGGCGUGGCCGUAUCGCCCCUGGCAUAGAGUAUUGUUGACUUGUUAUGGUACGAGAUUGAUAUGUAGGGGGCUAUUGGUGACAGAUUCAUCCUUGAGGUGAUAUAUUUGUGAUGUGACGCAUUCCAUGAUAGCAUACGUUAAAAUUAACUGUUUUCUUUUAUGGUUUCUGCUCACUGGGC
Molecule: long non-coding RNA, 270 nt
Filed under: Manihot esculenta (cassava)
Lineage: Eukaryota; Viridiplantae; Streptophyta; Magnoliopsida; Malpighiales; Euphorbiaceae
Description: long non-coding RNA (MESC_LNC007325)
Source: RNAcentral